Molecule: long non-coding RNA, 4513 nt
Organism: Oreochromis aureus
Lineage: Eukaryota; Metazoa; Chordata; Actinopteri; Cichliformes; Cichlidae
Source: Ensembl
GGACUCUCUCAACAUUGCAACCUUGAGUUCAGCAGCAGAAAAGUAGAUUAAAAGAAUUGGGAGAAUAAGCCAGUUUUUGGCUCGAAAUUGUGCGGCUGGAUCUCUCACUUUGUCCCUGAAGCGGAGAAGAAGUUCAAAGGACAGUCAAUCGCCUGAUGAAGACCGAUAGAACAUCGUGGACUUGAAUACAGCAGGCAAAUGACAGUGCCACUGAUCCAUUAACACUGAUGACGACUGACGACCAGCAGCAGCAUGUAAGAGUAAUGCAAGAUGUACUGUGAAAAUACAGGCUGGGCAGUUGAACAGUGGGAUAAAGAAUUGUGGAAGAGCACUGGACAUUGAGUGAUAUUUUGCCAUGCUGGGCAGUUGAACAGUGGGAUAAAGAAUUGUGGAAGAGCACUGGACAUUGAGUGAUAUUUUGCCAUGCUGGGACUUAAAUCUGAAAGAAAGACUGUAAAGAAACAGAGAAGAAGACAACAGCUGAGUUGAGACUGUGUUUGCUGGAGCUUUGAAGCCCGAACAGGACAUUGUGCAGAGAGGACCAGUGAGAGAUGAAGCUGGACGAGUUUGACUGCGAGAAUAUAGGAUAUAAUUGGAUUGAAAAUUGAAACCUGAACUCAUGAAUUGUUUAGGGAUGUCCACUACAGCAUAACAAAGAGGUAAACAUUAGAAAAGGUAGGAAUAAUGAACGAAAAUAAUUGUCAUUACCUUAAUGAAUAGAAAACACACAUACAAAUUGUUACAUGUGAGAUUAUUUUUGAAAUGAAUCAGAAGUGAGAUAGUUUGAGUCUAAAGCUCAGUGGUGAAAUGCAUAAAUUAAAUAUGAAUAUAUCGGAUGCAAUGAAGAAACAGCUUACACGUAGUGUACAUUAACAUGAAUACAUCGCAAGGCAACGAAGAACUCAAUGAGUUAAUUUAAUGAAGAAGCAGUUUACACCCAAUUAACAUAAAAUGCAGGGAAGAACACGCUUACAUGCAUGGCAUAAUUGGUGUUUCUGAUCAGAGAUAGAGAAAUGGGUUAUUUAACCACUGGUGAUAAUAAUGAAAAUGUCUUAGUUUGUUAUUUUCAGGGGUAAAGCAGACCCAGGCCAAUUCUCCAGAUGCAGGAGUCUGAAGAAAUUACAGGUUAACAUGAAUGGAUAUGUUAAGGCAAGUUUCUGGUUGAAUUGUUCACAGCAUGAUGUGUCCAGGAACCUGAAAAGCAAGCCCCAGCUCCUGGCUGAAGACUAGGAGUGCUUUAUUUAAGGUGGGAAAUCAAAAUGUGGGUUAGUAAUUGGGGGAAAAAGAAAACUGACUGCUUAACUGGAGAGUGGGGAAGAAGUCUGGGAGACUGUGAAGCCAUAGAUGCAAAAUAACAUAUACCCAUACACACACAAACAGAAAAUGCAUUAACCUUAUAAAGACAAGCUCUUGAAGCUUAAUGAACAGGUAUUGAUUUAAAACCUGGCUAAGAACAUAAGCAUAUGCAAUGAAGAUCUGCUUGCUGCUUGUAUGAGUGAGAGAAUGGUGUGAAUGGUUAAUACAAUUGAUGGAAAGAUUUAAAAUAGAUGGAAAAAACAAAAGAAAAGUGUCUAUAAGAGUGACUCAGGAGUGCUCUUGCACUGAUUUAUCAAAGUAAGUGAUUAGUAUAGAAAGAAAAUGAAAAUAAUUCAAUAACGUGAUAAAGUUUAAACAUGUAUUCCUCUUGUUAAGUUGGCUGUUGAGCUGUGGGUUUAUGCAAAUUAGCUGGAGUGAGUGAGUGACAAAGACACUUCCUGUGUGCGUGUGUGGCGGAGGCUUUCGGUUCAGUUCAAGAGAGAGCAGUGGCUGUUGAAGAGUAUUGGGAGAAAUAUAUAAUGGUAAAGUAUCAGGAUAUUUGAUUACGGUGGUCAGGUCUGUUCAGAGGGGCAGAUUUGGACAGGAAAUUUAUAAUUUAAGGAUGAUAUGUGGUUGAAAUUGGUUUUUAUCUUGUGCUGAAUGAAAACGGUCUUUGAUCUUUUGACGAGGUUUUCGGUGUGUUGAACGGGUGAAAUUUAAGAUUGUUUCAGAUUUUUGAGGCUGUUGUUUUAUUUCCAGAGAGGGUGUUUCAUUAAGGCAGGGAUAGGUCUGAGAGGGGCCCCAAAAAUUUUUUGUAGUAGUAAGUGCACUCAGGAAAAAACCUGUCAGGUGAUUUUGUUUGGUACUUUGAUGAGCUAAUAAUCAGCUCUCUUUUUUCAUUUUUGUUCUAAGCAGGCCUGGAAGAGAGUGAACGGACGGCGCUGACAAAAUUACCAAGUACGAAAAUCAGGUGGGCUUUACAGAAUUAUAAUUGAUUACAAUCAGAGACUGAUUGGCGGCAAGUCUCUGUCUAAAAAUGGAUUGUAUCGAUUCAAUCCAGUCAAAAGUAUAGAGAACUAUUUUCCUAAACAGGAAAACGAAAUAAAACAAAUGAUUGAGCUCAUUUUGCUGAUGUGGAGCAUCUGAUGACGUGCGCGGAAGGCUGCAGAUCAGCAAAAAAAAUAUCAUGAGUGAAUGCAUGUGAGUGAAUGUGAGUGACUGGACUAAGGUGGGAAUGAAUAAAUGUGGACAGAUUUAUCAUGUGAGGAAAAGAAAGGGGAUGCUUUGUUUUGCUUUUGCCAUAGGCAGGACAAGUGGGAGACUUAAAUCUGGGGAGGCUGAUUUUGGGAUGCUGAUGUUUGCUUUGAGAAAAUUUCUUUUUACGGGGGUUAGAUUAUGGGAUUACAUUAUAUUGUUGGGAGAAUGCUAAAUGCUAAAAGGGAAACAUUGUUUGAUGAGAUUCAAGUUACCAUUAACUGAGGUAACUCAGGAUUAAUAACUGUUCUGUUCAAGUUUAUUUUUUGUUAUGACAUAGACGGGAUCAUAAGGGGAGAGUUGAGUAUGAAAUGUAAACUACAGGUUUUGUUUUCAGGAAAUUCCAAGGAUCCAGACCUUGCAUGGAGCAACGAGUUGGAGGAGAUUUGACAUGAUGAUUAAAUUGAUUUUGUUCCUUAAACACAGGUUUUCAGGGCUGAAGCAAAACACCGGAGAGGAGAAUUGCUGAGCGGUUCUGGGCAAUGAAAUGACUAACCUUUUUUCCUUUUAAUUUGUUAAGCUUGGGUGGAGCAUGUUGAGUUUUUGCCACAUGAGAUGUGUCAAAAAGAGAGGGGUUUAAGAUUUAAUUUGUUUAAUGUGAAAGGGUUUUACUAGGAUUUUAUAACGAUUGGGGUUGUUUGAUAAUUUAGAUAUGGUAAAACUGAGGCAGAGAUUGUUAAUUCUAAAGAAAGGAGUAAAAUGAACUGAAUUCUGUUUAGAAGAUAAAUUGCUGGGGUUAAAAAGAAGUUGUACACCAAAUUAAAGGGGAAAUUGUGGGAAUAAAGGAUAUGCUUUGGGGAAAAUAGUGAACAUUUUAUGAGUAGAAAAUGUGGGAUUUUUCUUUUUGAUUUUUAGGAUAAGUGGUAACAGUGACAUAAUGUUAGAAUGUUGUUAUUUUUAGGGUAGUGGAGAGCUUUUUAUGAGGAUGUUAAAAGUCUCGCUGACUCAAAUGAAUAAUAUUGGAGAUUAUAUAUGUAGAAAUGAUUUUUCAUACACAUUGCAUUUUGGGGCCUUUAACGGAGUUGUGGCUCAGAGAGUCGUCUCUUGAGGGUCAUAAACUUUUGGUUAACGUUAUGAUUAGCCAAUCUACUGUGAGAAUGACCUGAGUUUUGAAGGAUUGCACACGCUUACAGACAUACAGAGUUCAUCAACACACAGGACAGUAUUGAUUUGAGGCCUAGGGCCUGAAAUUCCUUUAGCUUUUAACUGAAUUUGAGUUGGCCCAAUAACAAAUGACAGAAAGAGGAACUGAAUAGGAGUUUUGCUUGUAACUAAACUGAGUGACAUAUAAAAUAUUGAGAUAACAGAUGCAGCUCUAACUUAGUCCUCUUAUAUAAAAAGCAGUUACAGAAUACAGAAAUACAGAAAACAGAAGCAAAGGGAGAAAGCUUAUAUAUGUUGGUUAAGUCUGAUAAAGUUUAAGUUAGAGGGAGGCAUUACAUUAAAAGCAGCAAAAUGAAAUAAAAUGAUAUAUUCAAACAGGUUAUUACCCAGAAAAUGGGAGUUCAAAAUACUGUUAGAGUUCAGUUUUUAGCUAUGAUGAAGUUUAUCUAGAAGCAAUUAACUAGGUGCUUACACUUAGUGAUUAAAGUGGUUGUUUUUCUUUGAUCCUUUUAGUAGAAUAAGCCGUUAUAAUGAUUUUAUGAUGAUUUUGCUGGUGAGAGGUUGUCUGAUUUGUUAAGUCACAGGAUGCCAAGAGAGGGUCAGAGCUAAGAACAGUGAUCCUAAAUGUCCAUGAUGUCUGGGAUGGACAGGGGAGCAGUUGAAUGGGCCAAGGAGUGACCCAACACACAGUAUGGUGACCUCUUGUGGUCAAGAGGUCAAGAGUGGGAGUGUCAGGAAUAGAAAUAUUGUCCUGCUAUUAGUUGCUGCUAUUUUUAUAAUCAUCAUUAACAUUUCAGUAUUAAUAGUGAGGUUGCAGUUAGAUGCAUUCAGAUGUUCAAAUAUAUGGUUAUAGCCUUUA